This is a non-coding RNA of Rhincodon typus (whale shark), 75 nucleotides long. NCBI's taxonomy places the organism in Eukaryota, Metazoa, Chordata, Chondrichthyes, Orectolobiformes, Rhincodontidae. The record is from the annotation of a RefSeq genome assembly.
GCUGAAAUAGCUCAGUUGGGAGAGCAUCAGCCUGAAGAUCUUAAAGUGUCCCUGGUUCAAUCCCAGGUUUCAGCA